UAUGUACUCCCUCCGUCUCAAAAUUCUUGUCUUAUAUUUGUCUAUAUAUGAAUGUAUCAAGUCAUACUUUAGCUUUCAGAUACAUCCAUUUUUAGACAAACUUAAGAUAAGAAUUGUGAGACGGAGGGAGUAUGUA
Molecule: non-coding RNA, 136 nt
Organism: Hordeum vulgare subsp. vulgare (domesticated barley)
Lineage: Eukaryota; Viridiplantae; Streptophyta; Magnoliopsida; Poales; Poaceae
Source: Rfam